UACAUGGGGUGCAAACGUUGCUCGGAAUUAUUGGGCGUAAAGCGCACGUAGGCGGUUUGUUAAGUCGGAUGUGAAAUCCCUCGGCUUAACCGGGGAACUGCGUCUGAUACUGGAUGGCUUGAGUUUGGGAGAGGGAUGCGGAAUUCCAGGUGUAGCGGUGAAAUGCGUAGAUAUCUGGAGGAACACCGGUGGCGAAGGCGGCUCACUGGACCGGUACUGACGCUGAUGCGCGAAAGCGUGGGGAGCAAACAGG
Molecule: ribosomal RNA, 253 nt
Filed under: uncultured bacterium
Lineage: Bacteria
Description: partial 16S ribosomal RNA
Rfam family: Bacterial small subunit ribosomal RNA
Source: RNAcentral